Molecule: ribosomal RNA, 253 nt
Filed under: uncultured bacterium
Lineage: Bacteria
Description: partial 16S ribosomal RNA
Rfam family: Bacterial small subunit ribosomal RNA
Source: RNAcentral
GACAGAGGGUGCAAACGUUGCUCGGAAUCACUGGGCGUAAAGGGCGUGUAGGCGGGAAGGAAAGUCAGAUGUGAAAUCCCUGGGCUCAACCCAGGAACUGCAUUUGAAACUCCCUUUCUUGAGUACCGGAGAGGAAGGUGGGAUACCUGGUGUAGAGGUGAAAUUCGUAGAUAUCAGGUGGAACACCAGUGGCGAAGGCGGCCUUCUGGACGGUAACUGACGCUGAGACGCGAAAGCGUGGGGAGCAAACAGG